RNAcentral lists this ribosomal RNA (253 nucleotides) under uncultured bacterium. RNAcentral's name for it is "partial 16S ribosomal RNA". It matches the Rfam family "Bacterial small subunit ribosomal RNA", at positions 524 to 776 of the family's 1533-position model. The record is from RNAcentral.
UACGGAGGGAGCUAGCGUUGUUCGGAAUUACUGGGCGUAAAGCGCACGUAGGCGGCUUUGUAAGUUAGAGGUGAAAGCCCGGGGCUCAACUCCGGAACUGCCUUUAAGACUGCAUCGCUUGAAUCCAGGAGAGGUGAGUGGAAUUCCGAGUGUAGAGGUGAAAUUCGUAGAUAUCGAGAGGAACACCGGUGGCGAAGGCGGCCAACUGGACAGAUACUGACGCUGAGACACGAAAGCGUGGGUAGCAAACAGG